This 596-nucleotide ribosomal RNA is filed under the name uncultured bacterium. RNAcentral's name for it is "bacterial SSU rRNA". It matches the Rfam family "Bacterial small subunit ribosomal RNA", at positions 341 to 929 of the family's 1533-position model. The record is from RNAcentral.
ACGGAGGCAGCAGUGGGGAAUCUUCCGCAAUGGACGAAAGUCUGACGGAGCAACGCCGCGUGAGUGAUGACGGCCUUCGGGUUGUAAAGCUCUGUUAAUCGGGACGAAAGGCCUUCUUGCGAAUAGUGAGAAGGAUUGACGGUACCGGAAUAGAAAGCCACGGCUAACUACGUGCCAGCAGCCGCGGUAAUACGUAGGUGGCAAGCGUUGUCCGGAAUUAUUGGGCGUAAAGCGCGCGCAGGCGGAUAGGUCAGUCUGUCUUAAAAGUUCGGGGCUUAACCCCGUGAUGGGAUGGAAACUGCCAAUCUAGAGUAUCGGAGAGGAAAGUGGAAUUCCUAGUGUAGCGGUGAAAUGCGUAGAUAUUAGGAAGAACACCAGUGGCGAAGGCGACUUUCUGGACGAAAACUGACGCUGAGGCGCGAAAGCCAGGGGAGCGAACGGGAUUAGAUACCCCGGUAGUCCUGGCCGUAAACGAUGGGUACUAGGUGUAGGAGGUAUCGACCCCUUCUGUGCCGGAGUUAACGCAAUAAGUACCCCGCCUGGGGAGUACGACCGCAAGGUUGAAACUCAAAGGAAUUGACGGGGGCCCGCACAAG